RNAcentral lists this ribosomal RNA (479 nucleotides) under uncultured bacterium. RNAcentral's name for it is "partial 16S ribosomal RNA". It matches the Rfam family "Bacterial small subunit ribosomal RNA", at positions 28 to 507 of the family's 1533-position model. The record is from RNAcentral.
GAUGAACGCUGGCGGCGUGCUUAACACAUGCAAGUCGAACGAAGCACUUUAACCUGAUUCUUCGGAUGAAGGUUUUUGUGACUGAGUGGCGGACGGGUGAGUAACGCGUGGGUAACCUGCCUCAUACAGGGGGAUAACAGUUAGAAAUGACUGCUAAUACCGCAUAAGACCACAGAGCCGCAUGGCUCGGUGGGAAAAACUCCGGUGGUAUGAGAUGGACCCGCGUCUGAUUAGGUAGUUGGUGGGGUAACGGCCUACCAAGCCAACGAUCAGUAUCCGACCUGAGAGGGUGACCGGCCACAUUGGGACUGAGACACGGCCCAAACUCCUACGGGAAGCAGCAGUGGGGAAUAUUGCACAAUGGGGGAAACCCUGAUGCAGCGACGCCGCGUGAGCGAAGAAGUAUUUCGGUAUGUAAAGCUCUAUCAGCAGGGAAGAAAAUGACGGUACCUGACUAAGAAGCACCGGCUAAAUACGUG